GUUGAACGCUGGCGGCAUGCCUAAUACAUGCAAGUCGAGCGAACAGACGCGGCGCUUUCUCCUCUUACGUUAACGGCGGACGUGUUAGUAACACAUGGAUCCCCUACCUAUAAGACUGUGAUAGCUUCGGUAACCCGUAGCUCAUACCGUCUAAUAUAUUGAACCGCAUGGUUCAAUAGUUAACGCCGUUUUUGCUGUCCCUUUUAGAUUGGUCCGCGUCGGAUUAGCUAGUUGGUAAGGUAACGGCUUACCAAGGCAACGAUGCGUAGCCGACCUGAGAGGGUGAUCGGCCACACUGGAACUGAGACACGGUCCAGACUCCUACGGGAGGCAGCAGUAGGGAAUCUUCCGCAAUGGGCGAAAGCCUGACGGAGCAACGCCGCGUGAGGGAUGAAGGUCUUCGGAUCGUAAAACGCUGUUAUAAGGGAAGAAAAAAUGUGGAAGUAAACAUGCACGUAAUGACGGUACCGAAUCAGAAAGCCACGGCUAACUACGUG
RNAcentral lists this ribosomal RNA (497 nucleotides) under uncultured bacterium. RNAcentral describes it as "partial 16S ribosomal RNA". It matches the Rfam family "Bacterial small subunit ribosomal RNA", at positions 28 to 507 of the family's 1533-position model. The record is from RNAcentral.